Molecule: ribosomal RNA, 455 nt
Filed under: uncultured organism
Description: partial 16S ribosomal RNA
Rfam family: Bacterial small subunit ribosomal RNA
Source: RNAcentral
ACGUACACUCCUACGGGAGGCAGCAGUGGGGAAUAUUGGACAAUGGGCGCAAGCCUGAUCCAGCCAUGCCGCGUGAGUGAUGAAGGCCCUAGGGUUGUAAAGCUCUUUCACCGGUGAAGAUAAUGACGGUAACCGGAGAAGAAGCCCCGGCUAACUUCGUGCCAGCAGCCGCGGUAAUACGAAGGGGGCUAGCGUUGUUCGGAUUUACUGGGCGUAAAGCGCACGUAGGCGGACUAUUAAGUCAGGGGUGAAAUCCCGGGGCUCAACCCCGGAACUGCCUUUGAUACUGGUAGUCUUGAGUUCGAGAGAGGGGAGUGGAAUUCCGAGUGUAGAGGUGAAAUUCGUAGAUAUUCGGAGGAACACCAGUGGCGAAGGCGGCUCACUGGCUCGAUACUGACGCUGAGGUGCGAAAGCGUGGGGAGCAAACAGGAUUAGAAACCCUUGUAGUCCCAUGA